AAUACACACGCAAUUAUCCAGAGUCGGAACAUCCAGAACAAUGACCACCUGAUCACUGUGUUUUUCUUCUUUUCCUUUUUCCUUUCAAUUCUAUUCAUUUUACAACAACAGAGUUACAACAACAGAGGGACGAUUUGAUCGCCCCAAAAUUAUCAGCCAUAAAAAAUAGUUUAGCAUUCAAAUAUGCGCUUCAAUGAUCCAGUAUCUAGCCCCAGAUGAAAACACUUUUAUCAUAAUGGUUGUAGUUCUUGCUCAGGAACACUUUUACCAACAGGCUCGUAUGUACCAACUGUUGCUUGUCUAUGCCUCCAAACCAUCCAUAUGCCAAUGCCUGAUAAACUAACAAGCAGGGCGGACAAAACUCCAACAGCAACUGCCCAGAAGUGUUCCUGCCACCAUGUCAGCUUUCUUUGAGGCUCAAUCUUCCAUUUAACCAAUUGAUAGCUCCCAAAUCUCUCAGGAAACUGCAAUCUAUGAUCCCGUAACUGUAGAAUUAUGUUCAUUGCUGUGGCAUUGGAAAUAUAAUCAGCAGACUCGGCAGGAAAGAUGCCCCAUCUAACAUGGUAAUUAUUUCCUUCUGAGGUGAAAUUUAACAUAUGAACCUGCAAAUUAUCAACUUCCAACUCAUGGGCAAUGAACUCUGCUACUUCAGAUAAGUUGGGCUUCAUGUAUGAGUUGUUAACACUAAUCAACAUAUCAAAUGUUAUAAUUCUAAUUCGAAGUUCACCUGGAACAAAAUCUGGAGGCAGUACACUCGGGGCUUUAGCAGGAGGCAUUGCUUCACUUUUGUUACUACUAGGCAGAACUACAGGAACAGGAACAGGAACAGGCACCCCAGGAACUUGCCCAUAGUUCAGAACAAUUAGUUUUCCAAAAACCAAUCUUAUCAUUCUCCCGGUCAUAAGUCACAAGAGUAUUCCGUACAAUAAUUCCUCCUAAAAGAGUAGUUGGAUCCUUCCCAUUCUGGAAAAUUCCCAGGCAAUAUGCACCACUGACCUUUGUAUGCCGGAACAAGUAAUUCUCUGGAGACAGGGAUAACUUUUGACCAUUGCCAAAUACCAUAUUAACCUCAGGAAAAAUUUUUGAUAGUUGAGAAACAUCGGCCCUGAUCCAAAUUACAAUGAUGUUUUAAUUUGGAUCAGGGCCAUGGAUCUGUUUGAGGAAAUGGAUUUCCUUCACAAUAGCAUCUUUAAAUGCAAGAAAAGCUGCUUCUGGAAGGUAAGCAUAUGUAGUUCCACUGUCCAAAACUGUUCCAUGCUUUCCGUUGAAGAUUCUUGGAUUUAACUUCAAUCGUUUCCCAGCUACAUGCAGUUCCUUCAGCUCGAUAUUGUAAUAUGGACUACGGUAAGGGUC
RNAcentral lists this unclassified non-coding RNA (1353 nucleotides) under Hevea brasiliensis (rubber tree). Lineage: Eukaryota; Viridiplantae; Streptophyta; Magnoliopsida; Malpighiales; Euphorbiaceae. The record is from RNAcentral.